Molecule: long non-coding RNA, 778 nt
Filed under: Parus major (Great Tit)
Lineage: Eukaryota; Metazoa; Chordata; Aves; Passeriformes; Paridae
Description: lncRNA (ENSPMJG00000009606.1)
Source: RNAcentral
AGGAAGGCAUGGCGUGAGCUUCUGUGAGACAGGCUUCAGUCACACACCUUCUGCUCCUUGGCUCAGAGGGGGAAAUCACUGGAAAUUUGCCAUCCAGGCUCCUUUACUGAAGCUGUAAAAAGCACAGGUUAUGAAAAGCAAAAGGGAAAGGCUGUUUCCAGGCAGAGGAACAUGUCUCUGGGAUGGAAGCUCCCUCAUCCAGGAGCCAGUUUCACUGCUCUCUCUGUGGCUUAGGACAGAUCCACUGCUUUUCCCUCUGGAAAUGGACCCAUCAGUGAUGUUCAUGGGAGUAACUCGCAGCUCAGCAGCUCUGGGACGAGUAUAUCAGGCAGUUCCCAGGCCAAGGGAAUGCCAGCAGAGUGUUCAGAAGAAGCAUGAGUGUGGUGCUACUGCAAAACCAACAUUUAUCACAGCAAGGAAGAAAGGAAACAGGACUGGAAACCUCUCCCAAGAUCUGAGCUGGCAUUAGGGAGAGGGCUGACAGCACAGUCUGGGAUGGGGGCAGUGGAAGCUGUGCAUGUUAGAGGGGGUACAGCCUCCACCAGGGCGGAUCUGGCACGUGAAGGAAGGGACACUGCAGAUUUUGGUAUUGGGAGCACAAUCACAGGGACAAAUGCAAGCUGGCAGAUUCCCAGCCUCCUUUCUAUCUCAGAAAGAGGCACAUGGAGAGUGCAGGGAUGGGGGAGAAAGCCAGAGGAAACCAAAGUAAAAAUAAGAUUCACCUUUAUUUUGCCAGCCAUGGCAGCCCACUGAAAAUAAAUGCUCAGAGAGGCUUUCA